GGUGAGUAACGCGUGGGUAAUCUGCCUUCGGGCUUGGGACAACUCCGGGAAACUGGAGCUAAUACCGGAUAAGACCACGGGGCCCUCGGGCUCCGAGGAAAAAGGUGGCCUCUGCAUGCAAGCUACCGCCCGUUGAUGAGCCCGCGUCCCAUUAGCUAGUUGGUGGGGUAACGGCCUACCAAGGCGACGAUGGGUAGCUGGUCUGAGAGGAUGAUCAGCCACACUGGAACUGAGACACGGUCCAGACUCCUACGGGAGGCAGCAGUCGGGAAUUUUGGGCAAUGGGCGAAAGCCUGACCCAGCAACGCCGCGUGAGGGAUGAAGGCCCUCGGGUCGUAAACCUCUGUCGGGAGGGAAGAAUGGUCGCAAUUCGAAUAGGGUUGUGGCCUGACGGUACCUCCAAAGGAAGCACCGGCUAACUCCGUGCCAGCAGCCGCGGUAA
RNAcentral lists this ribosomal RNA (442 nucleotides) under uncultured delta proteobacterium. RNAcentral describes it as "bacterial SSU rRNA". It matches the Rfam family "Bacterial small subunit ribosomal RNA", at positions 105 to 523 of the family's 1533-position model. The record is from RNAcentral. Lineage: Bacteria; Deltaproteobacteria.